This is a long non-coding RNA of Sapajus apella (tufted capuchin), 92 nucleotides long. RefSeq lists it as uncharacterized. The record is from RefSeq and is a predicted model, not a curated record. The transcript is spliced from 3 exons. Lineage: Eukaryota; Metazoa; Chordata; Mammalia; Primates; Cebidae.
UCAUUUAGCCUUAAUUACUUCCUAAAAGCCCUAUCUCCAAGUACAGUUACAUUGGGCAUUAGGACUUCAACAUAUGAAUUAGGGAAGAGGCA